AACGCACAUUGCGCCCUUUGGCAUUCCGAAGGGCAUGCCCGUUCGAGCGUCAUUUCACCAAUCAAGCCUGGCUUGGUGUUGGGCCCCGGGGGUGACCCGGACCCCAAUGUCCGCCGGCCGGACGACCCGGACCUCAGCGUUAUGGCACUUCUUACGAGUACCGCUGGAGGGGAAGGGGCGACCGCGCCGUCACAAAAACACUUCUGAAAAGGUUGACCUCGGAUCGGGUAGGGAUACCCGCUGAACUUAA
Molecule: unclassified non-coding RNA, 250 nt
Filed under: uncultured fungus
Lineage: Eukaryota; Fungi
Description: partial contains 5.8S ribosomal RNA, internal transcribed spacer 2, and large subunit ribosomal RNA
Source: RNAcentral